RNAcentral lists this transfer RNA (70 nucleotides) under Dipodomys ordii (Ord's kangaroo rat). It matches the Rfam family "tRNA". From Rfam's summary of the family: Transfer RNA (tRNA) molecules are approximately 80 nucleotides in length. Their secondary structure includes four short double-helical elements and three loops (D, anti-codon, and T loops). Lineage: Eukaryota; Metazoa; Chordata; Mammalia; Rodentia; Heteromyidae. The record is from Rfam by way of RNAcentral.
GGGAAGUUGGCUCAAUGGUAGAGUGCUUGCCUCAUAUGCAUGAGGCCCUGGGUUUGAUUCCUCAGUACCA